Molecule: ribosomal RNA, 774 nt
Filed under: Eschatogonia triptophyllina
Lineage: Eukaryota; Fungi; Ascomycota; Lecanoromycetes
Description: Eschatogonia sp. SK-2020h partial small subunit ribosomal RNA
Rfam family: Bacterial small subunit ribosomal RNA
Source: RNAcentral
AAUGGCCUAACGGUUGAACCAGCAACUUGGAAGAAUGUUAGCAAUAGCUAAUUGCAUAAUAUUAUGCAAUAUCGAUUAUGUUGAAUAAAGUUCUGAGUAAAUUUAGAUAAUGACUUAAUUUACUCACGUGUCUUGACUAAAUUGCGUGCCAGCAGUCGCGGUAAGACGCAGAAGACUAGUGUUAUUCAUCUUGAGUAGGUUUAAAGGGUACUUAGACGGCAAAUCAAGCUAUGGUAAGGACUAAUUUGCUAGAGUUACUUGCGAAGGGGCUAUAAAGUACUAAAGGAGUAGAGAUAAAAUGUGACGAUACCUUUUAUGGCACUGGUAAAAGCGAAAGCAUCCCUUUAUGUGAUAACUGACGUUAAAGGACGAAGGCUUUGAGUCGCGAAUAGGAUUAGAUACCCUAGUAGUCAAAGGAGAGAAUAAUGAGUGCCAUAGAUUGGAUUAAUUUUAAUCUAUAAAUGAAAGUGUAAGCACUUCACCUUAAGCGUAACGUGGCAACACCGAAAUUGAAAUCAUUAGGCCGUUUUUGAANNNNNNNNNNNNNNNNNNNNNNUAAUUUGAUGAUCCACAAAGAACCUUACCACAACUUGAAUAUUUAUAUUUUAAUAUAUUUACAAGCGUUGCACGGCUGUCUUAAGUUAAUGUCGUGAGAAUUUGGUUAAACCCAUUAAAUUGACGUAAACCCUUAUUUUAUUUUUAUAUAAAAUAGUUAACCGCUAUAUUGGAUAUCUUAAUAGGGAAGAAGACAAGUCAUCAUGACCUGAAUGUUGU